Molecule: long non-coding RNA, 3629 nt
Organism: Spinacia oleracea (spinach)
Lineage: Eukaryota; Viridiplantae; Streptophyta; Magnoliopsida; Caryophyllales; Amaranthaceae
Exons: 4
Source: RefSeq, a predicted model, not a curated record
UUCACCAAUUGCGCUUAAAUUUUCAGUCAAAACUUUCGCUCAAAACUUUUCGCUCACAAUUUUUUCGCUCAGAAAUUUCGGUUCCCUCCACAUUACCUUCCAUCUUCUCAAUUAGGUUUAAGAUUAGUUUUCUCUCAUCCUCCAAUCCUCCAUAGGUGACACCAGUUGAUACCAAAAUCUUGAACUCAGAAGCGCGGGAUUCUAGGAGAGGGUGUGAACAACUCGCGCAAACAUUGAUCGGGUUUUUCAUCCUUGAUUCUUAACCUGAUUACACGAAACUCCAUUCCAGCGGUUUUUUAAGGUAAUUUUCCUCUUUUUUAUUUUAAUUCUUUUCUAAAUUUGGCUAGCUUUCUAAUUAUUUUCGAAAUUUAGUUGAAUUUUCCCAAUCCUUUUCAAAUUUUGAUUGAAAUUUCCUAAUUCGUUUUGAUUUUUGGGUGUAAUUACAUAUUAAUUCGGUUGGGUUGUUCCUUUGUCAUCACUUCGCUCCUUCCCCAAAUUGAGGUAUUAAGAGCAAACAAAUUCGCCAUUCUCUGAUGAUUUUACGAAGCAUAUUAGUUCAUUUCAUAUUCAUUUUUAGCUGACUCAAGCUCUUCAUUGGCCUUCUGAAGCAUAUCCUGAAGCUGACGAUUCUGCAUUCGUAAUUCACUAGCUUCGGUCAAUGCUUUGUUAGCAAGCUUCUCAUUAGCAUCAAAUGAGGGCUGCAUUUGUGAGGACAGUCUUUUGAAUUCAUCUUGAAUUCUUGCAGCUGUAUUAGCAUUUUUCCACCUCAUCAAUCUCAGGGUUUCUUCUGCGCGUAUUGCUCGCUGCUCCUGCUCCACUUUGGCAUGAGUAACCGCCUCCAGAUCAGCUUCAAACCUAGCCUUCUGCCUAUUUCUCUAGAUCUUCUUCAAGGUUCUGGACAUGAGCUUCAAGUUCCUUUACUGAAGCCAUAUUAUCAGAACACUCUUCUGACUGCUUUUUGAGUUCUUUCUCCAGUUUCUUGCUGGUGCUGUAAAAUCAAUUCCAUCAGGUUAACAAAAUUACAUCAUUGGAUGUUAAAUAUAAUUAGUACAUAGACCAAUAUAAGAAACAAUUACUUGAAAAAGCAGGAUUGACAACAAUGGAUGAUGACACUUCGGCAUGGGGGUCAUGAAAAGCAAAGCUUAUGUAGCAACGCCUAAGGACGGUAAGAAUUGUUUACUUCUGCUCUAAAUACUUGUUGUUGGUUGUUUAAGGACAGUACUAAUAACAAGGGGUAAAAACACUGAGUGAAAGAACCAGAUGCUGAGUGAAAGCACACUUAUUCCACCUACACGUGAGCACCUAAUUCUCCAAAAUCAUCAGCAUCUGCAGAGUUAUCAGGCAAUCGAAUUGCAUCGAACUUCUGCUUCAAGACUUCAAUUACAUUAAGCAAAAGUAGAGGAGCCUUGACUGCACCAGUGAAUUCAACAGUAAAUAUAAAUCUAUCCUCUUUCGGGUAAAUCUCAACAAGCCUCGACUUCCCCAUAGCUUCAGCUUUCUUAAUCACCUCAUCAUCAUAGGUAUAGGCCUCAGGAUCAACUACCCACCUGUAUGGGGCACGACAAAGAUACAUAAUGUUAAGUUUCUUAAAAUCUGAAAUACAAGCAUAGAGCCUAAGAAUGAAAACCGCCACAACCAACAAUUCUUCCAAGAUUGGCUUUAAAGAUCUAACAUAGUCAGAUAUCACCUCAAAGUUAUAAUAUCUUGUUCCAACUGAGCCAUUUGAUCAAACAUUAAAAUUAGAUAUGUUGGCUUAUACUAACAAUCAACGAUCAGUAACGUGUCAUCAGAGUCCUCGUUUCUCUUUCAGCCAGGUAAAUCACAUUUUCAUGGCUACAAGUUUUUACAUAUUCAUUCACACAAAGUCCAUAUCAGGAAUUGUAGUGUGCUAAACUUUAUCAACUCUUCAUCCUUAAAUCUCCAGGGAAUCCCUUCCCCAACAUUACAUGUGCACACAUCUCGAUCCAGGGACCUAUGUGACUUUGUGACUGCUUCUUUGGGAGCAUGGAGUAGGUUUCAAGGAGGGGAAGUUCUUUUUACGUAUUUCAGUUUGAGGAGAUUUUGCAGAUAUCUUUUGUUGAGUAUUUUUCUUUGGUGAUUUUUCACUGUUGCCAGACUUGUGAAUUUGGCUGCUUAGCUUUCUGAUGCCUCUAUGCGAGGGGCUCUUGACAUAGUUGACCGCUUUUCCACUUUGUGACCUUAUUAUAUGUCUCCCUUCACUAGAACGCAUUUGACAUGUGAAGAAAAUUAAUAGGAAUGCAUGAGUAAUCAUGCACAGAAUUCUGGCCAUGCUUAGAGAAGGAGACUCUUUAUUUUUAAGUUGGAUGAUAUUUCAAUAUUUGGAGAGAACUGAAGUUGUAAGGUUUGGGUCCCUGUCUUCUUCAGCAUGCCCAGCACCUGGGUUGUGACCUGGUGUAGUACGUACGUCUAAAAUCGUCUUCUAAUGCUGUUAAGCUAUUCCACAUUCUAGGACUUUUAGUUUGCUGGUUUGUUGAGGUCUUAUCUGUGUUAGUCAUGAAACAGUGACCAGCACCAGGGCUGUAUCCUGGUGCUGUAGGUCUGAAAUCAUGAAAAGUACUAGCUUAAAUAAUCUUGGUGUUGUACAGAUUGAGCGGUGAUGAUGUUGGGACAAUGUGCUUUGAGCAUAGGGUAAAAUUAAAUCAUGCCUACAUAUUAUGAGUUAAAUGGUGUAAGAAACUCCAGCUGAUUUACAGAAAUUGUCUUAAAGCUUAAAACUUAUAAAACAGUUCCAUUUUAAAGAGAAAGAUUCACAAACAGAUAGUAUUCUUGCCCUUUCAAUUAGUAAGAACAAGAACAUUAACACUUUCCCAAAUAUAGAAAACAACAUUAGCAUAUAUUUAUGUGAAUGUCAAUGACAAAAUACAACAUAUAUGUAUUUAAUAUUAUAUUGCCUAGCUUGCAUUAGAACCUAAGAUGGGAGUUAUUGGAUUUGAAAAGGAAUGCCCAAAUAAUACUAGGUCAGGGCCAUAGUUCCUGGUCUCUCUGGUGAUACAGAGUAUUUAUAAAAAAAACACCUUAGUACUAGCUUAGAUCCUAAUUGUUUUUAGAAUCUGACCUUUCGCUGCUAGAAGAAUGAAAUGUAAUCAGGAAAUGGAAAGUAAUAAGUUAGAGUCAGAAUUCAAUUGAUAAUUAAUAAUCACACAACACCAUGCAACCAAUUGUUAAUUGUAUCUUACCAUAUAUAAAAGGGAAUUUUGGCCUAUUAUACAACAAUGUAAUUUCAUCCCAAUUUAUGCUAAUCGUUUGGUUUUCUAUUUGUAUGGUAUGGUAUGUUGCGGUGUAUUAAAUAGAAAUAUUACCAUACCCGUGAUAUUAAUUAUCGUACAUUCUUUUGACUUGCAUAUAACUCUUUAUUUGGCAAACGCUGACUCAGACUUAUUUGGGGAAGCACAAGAUGUUAUCGACUUAUACUAGAUUAGUUGUUUCUUUGUCGCAUUGUAGUAGUUAAUUAGUUAUUUAUCUUGUCAUCUGCAUAUUAUUAGAUAACAUUUUGUUAAAUUGUUAAGACUAUUAGACAGUGUAUAUCACCUAUGUAAUGAUUUAUGACUUACUUUGUAUGAGUUAUUUAUUUAUAAUAUUAUUUUUAUCUUAUAAUUAUAUGUGAUUUU